Molecule: ribosomal RNA, 433 nt
Filed under: uncultured bacterium
Lineage: Bacteria
Description: partial 16S ribosomal RNA
Rfam family: Bacterial small subunit ribosomal RNA
Source: RNAcentral
AACGAACGCUGGCGGCAUGCCUAACACAUGCAAGUCGAACGAGACCUUCGUGUCUAGUGGCGCACGGGUGCGUAACGCGUGGGAACCUGCCCUUAGGUUCGGAAUAACUCCCCGAAAGGGGUGCUAAUACCGGAUAAUGUCUUCGGACCAAAGAUUUAUCGCCUUUGGAUGGGCCCGCGUUGGAUUCGCUAGUUGGUAGGGUAAAAGCCUACCAAGGAGACGAUCCAUAGCUGGUCUGAGAGGAUGAUCAGCCACACUGGGACUGAGACACGGCCCAGACUCCUACGGGAGGCAGCAGUGGGGAAUAUUGGACGAUGGGCGAAGGCCUGAUCCAGCAAUGCCGCGUGAGUGAUGAAGGGCUUAGGGUUGUAAAGCUCUUUUACCCGGGAUGAGAAUGACGGUACCGGGAGAAUAAGCACCGGCUAACUCCGUG